This is a long non-coding RNA of Ostrinia furnacalis (Asian corn borer), 1239 nucleotides long. RefSeq lists it as uncharacterized. NCBI's taxonomy places the organism in Eukaryota, Metazoa, Arthropoda, Insecta, Lepidoptera, Crambidae. The record is from RefSeq and is a predicted model, not a curated record. The transcript is spliced from 2 exons.
UUUUAUUCGAUUAUGAAAAAAAUAAAUAUGAGUCUAAUAUUUUCUAAUUAUCUGUCUGACGGAGAUGUAGAAUUUCUAUUUCAUUACCAGUCAUCAUCCCAAUUUUGUUGAAUGUUGAAAUGUUUUUGUUGAUUGUGUAGGGCAAAACACAAGCUGGAGAACCAGCCUUAGUUAAAAUUGUAUAAAUGUCAUUAUUAUAACACGCUUAUUAUUAUUUUUAGGGAAAUCAAAGAUUUUUCUUCUAUACCAACUCGUCAAAAUGUCUGUUAUAUUGUUUUUUUUGUUAUGGCAAUAUUUUUAAUUACUUACAACUUUAAUUGUCAUAGGCUGGGUUGCACCAUCAUACUUUAACUUUGACAAACGUCAAAAAUCUGUCAAAUUCCAUACUAAAGCACCGGUUAUAGUCAUAGUUACCGUUAAAGGAGGUGGUGCAACUCAGCCAUAGAGUAUUAAAUAGUAAAACGCACAUUGCUGUGGUAAUCAUACAAAUCUAAAGAUAUUUUUGUCUUCUUCACACUCAAUAGGUGAGAAUAAGACAGAUGUAUUUUUGACUUAUUAUGUAGCAAGAUUUGUACCAAUGUUAAAUAAAUGUAAAUAUUGUUGAUUUCGUACUGUAAAAAUAAAUAAAUAUCAAUAUUAAUACCUCAGGCGUAGCUUAGUAAUGAAAUAGACUGUCAAUUGUUACAAUCUGUCACUUUGACAGAAACUGUCAAUUAACGCACCAUUUGGGAACCUAUUUGAUUUAAACCAAGCACUAUAUAGGUUUCAAUCUAGUAUUGAAUGAAGACCUCAGUGUCUAUAGAACGAGCCUUAAGGCUGUCUGCCCACCGUAGCGGAGAGGAGAGAAGCGGAGCGGAGAUACGCUGUGCCAAUAUUAACCAAUAUGAUUGUUUAAUAAAACCUCCGCCCCACUUGGACAACGAUUUGCGAACUUGUUUAAAUACUGUUAUAUUUGUGAAAUGUGAAUAAGGAGAGCCGAGAAAUGAAGCACGGAAGCGGAGAAAGAAGCGGAAUAAACUGGAUGUGAUCUCCAGCAAUUCAAUUUCAACUUCUUUGUUAAAGGCCCUUUACAGAACAUACCACACAGAUAUACAGCUUGCCGGACCACAAUGGAUGUAAACAGUCCGCAUCUCCGCUCCGCAUCCCUCUCCGCUAUAUCGCUCCGCGUCAAUGGAUAGUAGCCUUAUUUAAUAAUAAUGAGUAAUGAGUUGAUAUCUUAUGUUUGCAUUCGUAUGUACA